CUAGUCAAAAUCAAAACAACCUUCUUUUGGUCUCUCAACCCUUUUCUCCUUCAUCACUCUCUCUACGACUUCACUUUCAAUCCCUAAAAAGCUUCCUCUUUUCAACUCAUAUGCUUCUGGACCUUGAUGUUCUGAACGAUUACUGGUUGUGUCGUUGA
This is a non-coding RNA of Vicia faba (fava bean), 158 nucleotides long. The record is from the annotation of a GenBank genome assembly. Lineage: Eukaryota; Viridiplantae; Streptophyta; Magnoliopsida; Fabales; Fabaceae.